GGAGACGUAUCGAAGAGGUCAUAACGAGCUCGACUCGAAAUCGAGUUGCCGGUUAAUUCCGGCACGCGGGUUCGAAUCCCGCCGUCUCCG
Molecule: transfer RNA, 90 nt
Filed under: Lachnospiraceae bacterium
Lineage: Bacteria; Bacillati; Bacillota; Clostridia; Lachnospirales; Lachnospiraceae
Description: tRNA-Ser
Rfam family: tRNA
About the family: Transfer RNA (tRNA) molecules are approximately 80 nucleotides in length.
Source: RNAcentral